CCCUAGUAACUGCGAGUGAAGCGGGAAAAGCUCAAAUUUAAAAUCUAAUGGUCUUUUUGGNNNNNNGNNUUNUAAUUUAGAGAAGCGUCUUCCGCGCCAGANNANGUACAAGUCUCCUGGAACGGAGCGUCGUAGAGGGUGAGAAUCCCGUCUUUGACAUGGACCCUCGGUGCUUCUGUGAUGCGCUCUCAAAGAGUCGAGUUGUUUGGGAAUGCAGCUCAAAAUGGGUGGUGAACUCCAUCUAAGGCUAAAUAUUGGCGAGAGACCGAUAGCGAACAAGUACCGUGAGGGAAAGAUGAAAAGCACUUUGGAAAGAGAGUGAAACAGUACGUGAAAUUGUUGAAAGGGAAACACUUGAAGUCAGUCGCGUCGAUCAAGACUCAGCCUUGCCUCUCGGCUUGGCGUACUUCUUGACUUGACGGGCCAGCAUCAAUUUCGUCCCUCGGAUAAUGGCAGGUGAAAGGUAGCACCUUCACGGGUGUGUUAUAGUCUCUUGUCGCAUACGAGGGGUGGGAUUGAGGAACUCAGCGCGCGCCUCACGGCGUCGGGGCUUCGGCCCACGUUUACGUGCUUAGGAUGCCGGCGUAAUGGCUUUAAAUGACCCGUCUUGAAACACGGACCAAGGAGUCUAACNNNCYUGCGAGUGUUCGGGUGGAAAACCCGUGUGCGAAAUGAAAGUAAAAGUUGGGAC
RNAcentral lists this ribosomal RNA (691 nucleotides) under Lactifluus oedematopus. RNAcentral describes it as "partial 28S ribosomal RNA". It matches the Rfam family "Eukaryotic large subunit ribosomal RNA", at positions 78 to 741 of the family's 3401-position model. Lineage: Eukaryota; Fungi; Basidiomycota; Agaricomycetes; Russulales; Russulaceae. The record is from RNAcentral.